Molecule: ribosomal RNA, 526 nt
Filed under: Ennucula sp. UMUT:RM32237
Lineage: Eukaryota; Metazoa; Mollusca; Bivalvia; Nuculida; Nuculidae
Description: partial 16S ribosomal RNA
Rfam family: Bacterial large subunit ribosomal RNA
Source: RNAcentral
CGCUCUUUGUUAUAUUUUUACAUAUAAGGAGUCGUACCUGCUCAAUGAUUGUUAAAGAUUAAAUAGCCGCGGUACCCUGACCGUGCAAAGGUAGCAUAAUCAUUUGCCCUAUAAUUGAGGGCUGGAAUGAAUGGUUUGACGAAAGCUCUACUGUCUUUUUAUUUUUGAUUAUAAAUUAAUUUUUAGGUGAAGAAGCCUAAAUAAGAAAAAGGGACGAGAAGACCCUAUUGAGUUUGAAUUUAUAAUUAUUAAGCUUGAUGUAUAUUUAAUAGAAUUAUUAUGAUUAUUGAAUUUUAGUUGGGGCAACUUGGGAAUAUAUAAAACUUCCUUAAUAAAUGUUAGAAUUAUUAUUAUAUGAUCCAUUUAAUUAAAUAAUGAUUAGUAGAUAUAAUUACCAUAGGGAUAACAGCGUAAUUUUUUCUGAGAGUUCUAAUCGAAGAAGAAGAUUGCGACCUCGAUGUUGGACUAAGGGAUUCUUAGAGGAGCAAAAAUUUCUAAAGUAAGUCUGUUCGACUUUGAAAACCUU